UGAAUCUGUUACAAAAGUAAAAAAAAAAAUCUCAAAAUUUGAGAAUUUGAAAGCCUGCCAAAGAUGCAUUUGAAAUUGAAACUUAAGUUAUAAUUAUUUCAACGCGACACUGACCUCUAAACUAGAAUGCACAUAUAUAAUAACGUAUCAAAACCAACAAAGGUAAACGUGAAGUGUGAACACAAGAGUCUCUCCAUCUUAUUUCUUUACUGAAAAAUAAGCACAAGGAAUCUGAACAACUUUGGCAAAAGGCAAAAAAAAAAGUUGAAAUAACCAGCCUAAAAACCA
This 288-nucleotide long non-coding RNA is filed under the name Brassica rapa (field mustard). RNAcentral's name for it is "long non-coding RNA (BRAP_LNC002855)". Lineage: Eukaryota; Viridiplantae; Streptophyta; Magnoliopsida; Brassicales; Brassicaceae. The record is from RNAcentral.